ACGAACGCUGGCGGCGUGCUUAACACAUGCAAGUCGAACGGAAAGGCCCUGCUUUUGUGGGGUGCUCGAGUGGCGAACGGGUGAGUAACACGUGAGUAACCUGCCCUUGACUUUGGGAUAACUUCAGGAAACUGGGGCUAAUACCGGCUAGGAGCUCCUGCUGCCUGGUGGGGGUUGGAAAGUUUCGGCGGUUGGGGAUGGACUCGCGGCUUAUCAGCUUGUUGGUGGGGUAGUGGCUUACCAAGGCUUUGACGGGUAGCCGGCCUGAGAGGGUGACCGGCCACAUUGGGACUGGGAUACGGCCCAGACUCCUACGGGAGGCAGCAGUGGGGAAUAUUGCACAAUGGGCGGAAGCCUGAUGCAGCAACGCCGCGUGCGGGAUGACGGCCUUCGGGUUGUAAACCGCUUUCGCCUGUGACGAAGCGUGAGUGACGGUAAUGGGUAAAGAAGCACCGGCUAACUACGUG
RNAcentral lists this ribosomal RNA (467 nucleotides) under uncultured bacterium. RNAcentral describes it as "partial 16S ribosomal RNA". It matches the Rfam family "Bacterial small subunit ribosomal RNA", at positions 29 to 507 of the family's 1533-position model. The record is from RNAcentral.